This 78-nucleotide transfer RNA is filed under the name Sphingomonas sp. AR_OL41. RNAcentral describes it as "tRNA-Pro". It matches the Rfam family "tRNA". From Rfam's summary of the family: Transfer RNA (tRNA) molecules are approximately 80 nucleotides in length. Their secondary structure includes four short double-helical elements and three loops (D, anti-codon, and T loops). Further hydrogen bonds mediate the characteristic L-shaped molecular structure. tRNAs have two regions of fundamental functional importance: the anti-codon, which is responsible for specific mRNA codon recognition, and the 3' end, to which the tRNAs corresponding amino acid is attached (by aminoacyl-tRNA synthetases). tRNAs cope with the degeneracy of the genetic code in two manners: having more than one tRNA (with a specific anti-codon) for a particular amino acid; and 'wobble' base-pairing, i.e. permitting non-standard base-pairing at the 3rd anti-codon position. Lineage: Bacteria; Pseudomonadati; Pseudomonadota; Alphaproteobacteria; Sphingomonadales; Sphingomonadaceae. The record is from RNAcentral.
CAGGGCGUAGCUCAGUCUGCGCAGAGCACCAGUCUUGGGAACCGGGGGUCGCAGGUUCAAUUCCUGCCGCCCUGACCA